UGAAAAAAAUACACCUUCUAAUAUCACUUUUCUAUAGACGCCUGUUCAAAAUCUGGAAAACAAUUUUAUUUUUUUUAGCUCCUUUUGGAAUUAAACUCUUCAAUAUUGCCUGUAUUAUUUAUUUUAUUCAAACUUUCAGAAAGAUUAUAUGUAGAUAUUUAUUUGUUUUAUUAGUGUUGAUAUAAUUGAUUGAAAAUGGCUACCAGGUAUUUCUGUAUUGCUCAAUAUCUUUCAUUUUAUAGCCUCAGAGUCGUCUUCCAUACCUGUUCCCAAGUACAGAACCUCACCUAUGAUGCAAAAAAGAAGCAGCAGUCUGGACACCGUUUCAUCUCAUCAUAGAAGCGGAAGGGCAUCAUCACCAGCUAAACCAAGAUAAAUACCAGGGACCUGUUUCACAAAGCCUUACUACUAAUUACCAAUCAGAAGCAAGGAUUUCACUAGCUUAUAACAAAAACUGUCAUUUUUCACUGAUGACAAGUUUUGUGAAAUGGGGCCCAGGAAUCAUCGUUCUGAAUGAUUAUCACCUUGAUGUCUUAUUUAUGAUCCAUAGUAGGGACUAUGUAGAAAGAUAUAGACCAUUACUACAAAGGUUUUUAAAAGAGCUACAUGUUUGUGAGAGGGUGACUUUACUUACACAGUUAUUGUGUUACGUCAUUUACAUGUAUACAUAGUAUUCUUUACCUGGUGCUGUGAAAUUUGUAGUGUGAGAAGAGUUUACCAUUAGAGCAAGAUAUUUAUUAUGUGUUUGGGUAAUUCCAUAAAUUAGGGACCCAUUUUGUGACACGAGUGAGAAUAUUAUGCUUGGCGUGUGUGGGUUCCUUAAUUUAUGUUUGUAUUGUGUCGCAUACCAUGUAUUUCACCUUUUGAAUAAUUGUUUAAUUCUGAGCAAAAGGUUGCCAUAUAAGUUAGUGAUGGAAAAAACACAACAUUUUGAUUGUAGAAUGAUUCUUUUAAAAUAAUGUUGAUGCAUACAUUAUGAAAUGUAAUUUGUAAAGAAAAAAGAAAUGAUUCAUGUAUGAACACAUUAUCAAUGAUUGUGGUGACCUUAGUUUUUUAUUGCUCUGUAUAGACUAUGAGAGCGAGCUACCAUACCAUUGGAAAGUACUGACAGAGAAAUACAAUAUGCAAUUAUUUUGAAAGUUGGCUUUGCCUUUUAAUUCUUCUUGGUCAUAACAUGACCUAUACAAAAUAGUCUGAACAUGUUGCGGGCAUUUUUUGGUAAAUUUGAAGGAAUAUAGGCUUUGACAAAUAAGCUUAUAAAAUAGUACUGAAAUAACCAAUUUACAACUGGAAGACAUGUACACAAGUGUCUGUUUACAUCAAACAAAUGCAGAAUUUUCGGCAAGAAUAAAAUAAUACCUAAUAUGUAACA
This is a long non-coding RNA of Strongylocentrotus purpuratus (purple sea urchin), 1372 nucleotides long. RefSeq lists it as uncharacterized. The transcript has 2 exons. NCBI's taxonomy places the organism in Eukaryota, Metazoa, Echinodermata, Echinoidea, Camarodonta, Strongylocentrotidae. The record is from RefSeq and is a predicted model, not a curated record.